Molecule: ribosomal RNA, 549 nt
Filed under: uncultured bacterium
Lineage: Bacteria
Description: partial 16S ribosomal RNA
Rfam family: Bacterial small subunit ribosomal RNA
Source: RNAcentral
UGGGGAAUAUUGGACAAUGGGCGGAAGCCUGAUCCAGCAACGCCGCGUGAGGGAUGACGGCCUUCGGGUUGUAAACCUCUUUCAGUACCGACGAAGCGAAAGUGACGGUAGGUACAGAAGAAGGACCGGCCAACUACGUGCCAGCAGCCGCGGUAAUACGUAGGGUCCGAGCGUUGUCCGGAAUUAUUGGGCGUAAAGGGCUCGUAGGCGGUUUGUCGCGUCGGGAGUGAAAACAGCGGGCUUAACUCGUUGCUUGCUUUCGAUACGGGCAGACUAGAGGUAUGCAGGGGAGAAUGGAAUUCCUGGUGUAGCGGUGAAAUGCGCAGAUAUCAGGAGGAACACCGGUGGCGAAGGCGGUUCUCUGGGCAUUACCUGACGCUGAGGAGCGAAAGUGUGGGGAGCGAACAGGAUUAGAUACCCUGGUAGUCCACACCGUAAACGUUGGGCGCUAGGUGUGGGGUCCUUUCCACGGAUUCCGUGCCGUAGCUAACGCAUUAAGCGCCCCGCCUGGGGAGUACGGCCGCAAGGCUAAAAACUCAAAUGAAUUGA